Molecule: long non-coding RNA, 199 nt
Filed under: Manihot esculenta (cassava)
Lineage: Eukaryota; Viridiplantae; Streptophyta; Magnoliopsida; Malpighiales; Euphorbiaceae
Description: long non-coding RNA (MESC_LNC000740)
Source: RNAcentral
CUCUCUGCUCUGGUUCCUCUUCUUUCUUCUCCUACUCAUCCAUCCUCCUGUUCCUCCCACGAUCAUGUUGAUCAUCCCAUUGGGGCCGUCAUUCACAGGUUUUGCCUCCUAUCUACGAGGUCUCUCCACCACCGCUCUGCUGAGGUUUCUCUGCCUUCCGUUUUUUCAUGAAGUUCCUGAGGUGCCCUCUUUUAAUGAG